Molecule: transfer-messenger RNA, 328 nt
Filed under: Formicincola oecophyllae
Lineage: Bacteria; Pseudomonadati; Pseudomonadota; Alphaproteobacteria; Acetobacterales; Acetobacteraceae
Description: Alphaproteobacteria transfer-messenger RNA
Rfam family: Alphaproteobacteria transfer-messenger RNA
About the family: Bacterial tmRNA, also known as 10Sa RNA or SsrA, is named for its dual tRNA and mRNA-like properties. Its role is to liberate the mRNA from a stalled ribosome.
Source: Rfam by way of RNAcentral
AAGCUUGCAUUCAGAAUGGGGAAAUGUUAUAAGAUUUGUGUUGGCUCUAGCUAACUAUGACAAUAAACGAUGGAUGGAAUAAGUGUAGCGGACCCGGGGGCAGUACCCGGCGCCUCCACCAAUACCAAAGCGGCCUUUAAAAGGUUUGGCUUUCCAUGGGGGCGAAACAGGCUCGACGCGCACGGUAAAGAUUCAUUUUUUGUUCGGCAUUGUACCGCCGUUAUCGGGCUAAAUCGAUAAGUGCCAAUGAUAACUCUGAGGUGCUCGCUGUCGCUGCGUAAGCGAUAAGCGCGGUUUGGGAAGGCACCGGGCAACAGAAGCCUUCCCA